RNAcentral lists this long non-coding RNA (226 nucleotides) under Phoenix dactylifera (date palm). RNAcentral describes it as "long non-coding RNA (PDAC_LNC018760)". The record is from RNAcentral. Lineage: Eukaryota; Viridiplantae; Streptophyta; Magnoliopsida; Arecales; Arecaceae.
AAUGACGCACGAGCUCACAAUGAAACAACACAGCGAAGAAGAAUCCUCUCAUAAGAAAAAGGUAAUAGCUCUCGAAUCUACUUCUUCUAACAAGGAUUUAUCUUGCAGUAGCAGCAGUGAAGAAGAAGAUCAUGAGGGAGAUGAUGAUGAGGCUCUUCUCGUACGUAAGUUCAGAAAAUUCAUCAACCGAAAGAAGUCCUUUCAUCAAAGGAGAGGUCCCUCAAGU